ACCCGCUGAACUUAAGCAUAUCAAUAAGCGGAGGAAAAGAAACCAACAGGGAUUGCCUUAGUAACGGCGAGUGAAGCGGCAAUAGCUCAAAUUUGAAAGCUGGCCUUCUGGUCCGCAUUGUAAUUUGUAGAGGAUGCUUUUAGGCAGCCGCCGGUCUAAGUUCCUUGGAACAGGACGUCAUAGAGGGUGAGAAUCCCGUAUGUGACCGGCUCUGGCACCUUCUGUAAAGCUCCUUCGACGAGUCGAGUUGUUUGGGAAUGCAGCUCUAAAUGGGAGGUAAAUUUCUUCUAAAGCUAAAUACUGGCGAGAGACCGAUAGCGCACAAGUAGAGUGAUCGAAAGAUGAAAAGCACUUUGGAAAGAGAGUUAAAAAGCACGUGAAAUUGUUGAAAGGGAAGCGCUUGCAAUCAGACUUGGCUUCGGUUGUUCAACAGGUCUUCUGACCUGCCUAUUCAAUCGUUGCCAGGCCAGCAUCAGUUUCGGCGGCCGGAUAAAGGCCCUGGGAAUGUGGCUGUUCCUUCGGGGACAGUGUUAUAGCCCAGGGUGUAAUACGGCCAGCUGGGACUGAGGUCCGCGCUUCGGCUAGGAUGCUGGCGUAAUGGUUGUAAGCGGCCCGUCUUGAAACACGG
This 628-nucleotide ribosomal RNA is filed under the name uncultured fungus. RNAcentral's name for it is "LSU rRNA". It matches the Rfam family "Eukaryotic large subunit ribosomal RNA", at positions 23 to 664 of the family's 3401-position model. Lineage: Eukaryota; Fungi. The record is from RNAcentral.